This is a long non-coding RNA of Triticum aestivum (bread wheat), 509 nucleotides long. RefSeq lists it as uncharacterized. The transcript is spliced from 3 exons. The record is from RefSeq and is a predicted model, not a curated record. NCBI's taxonomy places the organism in Eukaryota, Viridiplantae, Streptophyta, Magnoliopsida, Poales, Poaceae.
CCGCCUCCGGAGCCAGAGCGGAAAAAUCCACCCGCCGCCCGCCUCGCUCGUCGCCGACCCCCAAAUUAAUCCGCAGCCUCAGACCUCUCGUCCGAGGCCGGCGAGUGUAGUGGGGAACAACAGCAUCAGAAAUGGGCAACUACCUGACAAGUACAAGAACAACACGAGAGAAACGCGUUCAUGUUAAACCAGCGACGGGAUCGACCAAUGGCAAGGGAAGACCUAACAUCAAACUUCAAGACCUUCCAGAGGAUGUGUUAUGCACAAUUUUAUCGAAAUUACCGGCGAAAGAGGUUGUGUGGACCAGCGCUUUGGCGAGCGAGUGGGAGUCUUUGUGGACAACUUGCCCCAGACUAAGGAGGUGUUUGGUUCUCUGGCUAGUAACACAAACGUUAAUGGUAACAGGACACGCGGGGGGAUCGAAGGGGUAACAGUCCAGUUGUUAUUUUGUUUGGCACAUGCCAGUAACGUUAUCAGUUACCUUUACAGUGUUUGGUGUGGCACUAUAA